Non-coding RNA from Maylandia zebra (zebra mbuna), 251 nucleotides. The record is from RefSeq and is a predicted model, not a curated record. NCBI's taxonomy places the organism in Eukaryota, Metazoa, Chordata, Actinopteri, Cichliformes, Cichlidae.
UAAUGUUCCAUCUUCUGUCAGUUUGGGCCAGCCCACCUUCUAGUGACAUCAUCCGGUUAGUAAGGUGGGCAGUUUAAUGGCGGCUGAGCAGUGUUGGUCCGGAGGGGGUGCACUGAUUCCUGGGGCAUGUUAGGUGUGCGUAAAUGACAAGAAACCACACACACACACACACCCAGACAUACACUUAUGUACACCCGCUGUGUUUACAGCCCCAGAAAUUAAGUGGUGACAAUAAAGUGCCUCAAACGGAA